UCAAGCGAGAAAGCGCAUACGGUGGAUGCCUUGGCAGUAGAAGGCGAAGAAAGACGUGGCAGCCUGCGAAAAGCGUCGGGGAGUUGGCAGACAAGCAUUGAUCCGACGAUGUCUGAAUGGGGAAACCCGGCUGGUAUACCAGUCAUUGUGUACUGAAUCAAUAGGUACAUGAAGCGAUACUUGGGGAACUGAAACAUCUAAGUACCCAAAGGAAAAGAAAUCAAACGAGAUUCUGUAAGUAGCGGCGAGCGAAAGCGGAGUAGCCCAGUUACGAAAGCUGCGGUUUUUUAGUGGAAGCAUCUGGAAAGGUGUGCAAUAAAGGGUGAUAGCCCCGUACACGAAAGAAAGCCGAUAGUGGGUAACGAUGAGUAGGCCGGGACACGUGGAAUCCUGGCUGAAGAUGGGGGGACCAUCCUCCAAGGCUAAAUACUAACUACUGACCGAUAGUGAACCAGUACCGUGAGGGAAAGGCGAAAAGAACCCCGGAGAGGGGAGUGAAAUAGAACCUGAAACCGUAUGUGUACAAGCAGUGGAAGUCUGGGCAACUGGACGACUGCGUACCUUUUGUAUAAUGGGUCAGCGAGUUAUUUGCUGUGGCGAGCUUAACCGCAUAGGGGAGGCGAAGGGAAACCGAGUCUGAAUAGGGCGUUAAGUCGCAGUGAAUAGACCCGAAGCCGGGCGAUCUAUCCAUGACCAGGGUGAAGGUUGGGUAACACCAACUGGAGGCCCGAACCCACGUCUGUUGAAAAAUACGGGGAUGAGUUGUGGAUAGGAGUGAAAGGCUAAUCAAGCCCGGAGAUAGCUGGUUCUCCUCGAAAGCUAUUUAGGUAGCGCCUCGUGUAUUACGCUUGGGGGUAGAGCACUGUUUCGGCUAGGGGGUCAAUCUGACUUACCAACCCGAUGCAAACUCCGAAUACCAAGCAGUAGAGCACGGGAGACACACGGCGGGUGCUAACGUCCGUCGUGAAGAGGGAAACAACCCAGACCGCCAGCUAAGGUCCCCAAAUACAGUUAAGUGGAAAACGAGGUGGAAGGGCAUAGACAGCCAGGAGGUUGGCUUAGAAGCAGCCAUCCUUUAAAGAAAGCGUAAUAGCUCACUGGUCGAGUCAGUCUGCGCGGAAGAUAUAACGGGGCUCAAACUGUAUACCGAAGCUGCGGAUUUCUAGCAAUGGCUAGAAGUGGUAGAGGAGCGUUCUGUAAGCCGUAGAAGGUGAGUUGAAAAGCUUGCUGGAGGUAUCAGAAGUGCGAAUGCUGACAUGAGUAACGAUAAUGCGGGUGAAAAACCCGCACGCCGAAAGUCCAAGGUUUCCUGCGCAACGGUAAUCGGCGCAGGGUGAGUCGGCCCCUAAGGCGAGGCGGAAACGCGUAGUCGAUGGGAAACAGGUUAAUAUUCCUGUACUAAUGUUUAUUGCGAUGGGAGGACGAAGAAGGUUAGGUUAGCCCGUGAUUGGUUGAACGGGUUUAAGUGAGUAGGGAGUGUGCUUAGGUAAAUCCGGGUGCAUGAUGAACUGAGACACGAUGACGAGGCGGCUUGCCGCUGAAGUAACUGAUACCCCGCUUCCAGGAAAAGUCUCUAAGCUUCAGAUAGACAUUAACCGUACCCGAAACCGACACAGGUGGACAGGUAGAGAAUACCAAGGCGCGUGAGAGAACUCGGGUGAAGGAACUAGGCAAAAUAGCACCGUAACUUCGGGAGAAGGUGCGCCCUUGUGUGUGAAGCCCUUGCGGUGUAAGCAUAUGAGGGUCGAAGAAACCAGGUGGUUGCGACUGUUUAUUAAAAACACAGCACUCUGCAAACUCGUAAGAGGAAGUAUAGGGUGUGACGCCUGCCCGGUGCUGGAAGGUUAAAUGAUGGUGUGCAAGCACUUGAUUGAAGCCCCAGUAAACGGCGGCCGUAACUAUAACGGUCCUAAGGUAGCGAAAUUCCUUGUCGGGUAAGUUCCGACCUGCACGAAUGGCGUAACGACAGCCACGCUGUCUCCACCCGAGACUCAGUGAAAUUGAAAUCGCUGUGAAGAUGCGGCGUACCCGCGGCAAGACGGAAAGACCCCGUGCACCUUUACUAUAGCUUUACACUGGACUUUGAGUCUGCUUGUGUAGGAUAGGUGGGAGACUAUGAAGCGUGCUCGCUAGAGUGCGUGGAGUCAUCCUUGAAAUACCACCCUGGCAGGCUUAGAGUUCUAACUGAGUGCCGUGAAUCCGGUGCCAGGACAGUGUAUGGUGGGUAGUUUGACUGGGGCGGUCUCCUCCUAAAGCGUAACGGAGGAGCACAAAGGUACCCUCAGCGCGGUCGGAAAUCGUGCGUAGAGUGCAAAGGCAAAAGGGUGCUUGACUGCGAGACUGACACGUCGAGCAGAUACGAAAGUAGGUCUUAGUGAUCCGGUGGUUCUGUAUGGAAGGGCCAUCGCUCAACGGAUAAAAGGUACGCCGGGGAUAACAGGCUGAUACCGCCCAAGAGUUCAUAUCGACGGCGGUGUUUGGCACCUCGAUGUCGGCUCAUCACAUCCUGGGGCUGUAGCCGGUCCCAAGGGUAUGGCUGUUCGCCAUUUAAAGUGGUACGCGAGCUGGGUUUAGAACGUCGUGAGACAGUUCGGUCCCUAUCUGCCGUGGGCGUUGGAGAAUUGAGAGGAGCUGCUCCUAGUACGAGAGGACCGGAGUGGACGAGCCUCUGGUGUACCGGUUGUCAUGCCAAUGGCAUUGCCGGGUAGCUAAGCUCGGACGGGAUAACCGCUGAAAGCAUCUAAGCGGGAAGCCUCCCUCAAGAUGAGUUCUCCCAAGGAUUUAAGCCUUCUAAAGGUCCGUUGAAGAUGACAACGUUGAUAGGCGCGAUGUAGAAGUGCAGUAAUGCAUGUAGCUGACGCGUACUAAUUGACCGUGAGGCUUGACCCU
Molecule: ribosomal RNA, 2889 nt
Filed under: Vampirovibrio chlorellavorus
Lineage: Bacteria; Bacillati; Candidatus Melainabacteria; Vampirovibriophyceae; Vampirovibrionales; Vampirovibrionaceae
Description: bacterial LSU rRNA
Rfam family: Bacterial large subunit ribosomal RNA
Source: RNAcentral